UCCGUGGUAGCUCAACGGUAGAGCAGGAAACUGUUAAUUUCAAGGUUCUAGGUUCGAAUCCUAGCCACGGAG
Molecule: transfer RNA, 72 nt
Filed under: Candidatus Levybacteria bacterium RIFCSPHIGHO2_01_FULL_37_17
Lineage: Bacteria; Candidatus Levyibacteriota
Also listed under: 1 other name
Description: tRNA-Asn
Rfam family: tRNA
About the family: Transfer RNA (tRNA) molecules are approximately 80 nucleotides in length. Their secondary structure includes four short double-helical elements and three loops (D, anti-codon, and T loops).
Source: RNAcentral